GGAAGUGGGAUGACGUCAAGUCAUCAUGGCCCUUAUGUCCAGGGCGACACACGUGCUACAAUGGCCGGCACACGGGAAGCGAAGGGGCGACCCUGAGCGGAUCCCCAUAAAAGCCGGUCCCAGUUCGGAUUGCAGUCUGCAACUCGACUGCAUGAAGUUGGAAUCGCUAGUAAUCGCGGAUCAGCCAAGCCGCGGUGAAUACGUUCCCGGGCCUU
RNAcentral lists this ribosomal RNA (215 nucleotides) under uncultured Thermovirga sp. Its description in RNAcentral is "partial 16S ribosomal RNA". It matches the Rfam family "Bacterial small subunit ribosomal RNA", at positions 1168 to 1382 of the family's 1533-position model. Lineage: Bacteria; Thermotogati; Synergistota; Synergistia; Synergistales; Thermovirgaceae. The record is from RNAcentral.